GUCGAGAAUCUUUCACAAUGGGGGCAACCCUGAUGGAGCGACGCCGCGUGGAGGAUAAGGUCUUCGGAUUGUAAACUCCUGUCAUGCGUGAACAAGGUUGCUUGGUUAAUACCUGGGCAAAUUGAUGGUAACGCAAGAGGAAGAGACGGCUAACUCUGUGCCAGCAGCCGCGGUAAUACAGAGGUCUCAAGCGUUGUUCGGAAUCACUGGGCGUAAAGGGUGCGUAGGUGGCGUGGUAAGUCAGAUGUGAAAGCCCGGGGCUCAACCUCGGAACUGCAUCCGAUACGGCCAUGCUAGAGUACUGGAGAGGUGACUAGAAUUCUCGGUGUAGCAGUGAAAUGCGUAGAUAUCGAGAGGAAUACCAAAGGCGUAGGCAGGUCACUGGACAGUUACUGACACUGAGGCACGAAGGCCAGGGGAGCGAACGGGAUUAGAUACCCUAGUAGUCC
RNAcentral lists this ribosomal RNA (449 nucleotides) under uncultured bacterium. RNAcentral describes it as "partial 16S ribosomal RNA". It matches the Rfam family "Bacterial small subunit ribosomal RNA", at positions 354 to 796 of the family's 1533-position model. The record is from RNAcentral.